RNAcentral lists this ribosomal RNA (305 nucleotides) under uncultured bacterium. Its description in RNAcentral is "bacterial SSU rRNA". It matches the Rfam family "Bacterial small subunit ribosomal RNA", at positions 334 to 637 of the family's 1533-position model. The record is from RNAcentral.
CGUUCCUACGGGACGCAGCAGUGAGGAAUAUUGAUCAAUGGGCGAGAGCCUGAACCAGCCAAGUCGCGUGAAGGAUGAAGGAUCUAUGGUUUGUAAACUUCUUUUAUAUGGGAAUAAAGUGAGGAACGUGUUCCUUUUUGUAUGUACCAUAUGAAUAAGCAUCGGCUAACUCCGUGCCAGCAGCCGCGGUAAUACGGAGGAUGCGAGCGUUAUCCGGAUUCAUUGGGUUUAAAGGGUGCGCAGGCGGGCCUUUAAGCCGGCGGGGAAAUCGCGGGGCUCAACCCCGCCGAGCCGGCGGAACUGGG